This 70-nucleotide microRNA precursor is filed under the name Podarcis lilfordi (Lilford's wall lizard). The record is from RNAcentral. Lineage: Eukaryota; Metazoa; Chordata; Lepidosauria; Squamata; Lacertidae.
UGUGUGUGUGUGUGUGUGUGUGUGUGUGUGUGUACACAUACACACACAUACAUACACACACACACACAUC